Molecule: ribosomal RNA, 318 nt
Filed under: uncultured Bacillus sp.
Lineage: Bacteria; Bacillati; Bacillota; Bacilli; Caryophanales; Bacillaceae
Description: partial 16S ribosomal RNA
Rfam family: Bacterial small subunit ribosomal RNA
Source: RNAcentral
CAGGUCUUGACAUCUUCUGCCACUCCUAGAGAUAGGANGUUCNCCUUCGGGGGACAGAGUGACAGGUGGNGCAUGGUUGUCNUCAGCUCGUGUCGUGNGAUGUUGGGUUAAGUCCCGCNACGAGCGCANCCCUUGAUAUUAGUUGCCAGCAUUCAGUUGGGCACUCUAANGUGACUGCCGGUGNCAAACCGGAGGAAGGUGGGGACGACGUCAAAUCAUCAUGCCCCUUAUGACCUGGGCUACACACGUGCUACAAUGGACGGUACAAAGGGCAGAGACACCGCGAGGUGAAGCGAAUCCCAUAAAGCCGUUCUCAGU